Molecule: transfer RNA, 72 nt
Filed under: Mesotaenium endlicherianum
Lineage: Eukaryota; Viridiplantae; Streptophyta; Zygnematophyceae; Zygnematales; Mesotaeniaceae
Description: tRNA-Lys (TTT) (tRNA-Lys-TTT-5-1)
Rfam family: tRNA
About the family: Transfer RNA (tRNA) molecules are approximately 80 nucleotides in length. Their secondary structure includes four short double-helical elements and three loops (D, anti-codon, and T loops). Further hydrogen bonds mediate the characteristic L-shaped molecular structure. tRNAs have two regions of fundamental functional importance: the anti-codon, which is responsible for specific mRNA codon recognition, and the 3' end, to which the tRNAs corresponding amino acid is attached (by aminoacyl-tRNA synthetases). tRNAs cope with the degeneracy of the genetic code in two manners: having more than one tRNA (with a specific anti-codon) for a particular amino acid; and 'wobble' base-pairing, i.e. permitting non-standard base-pairing at the 3rd anti-codon position.
Source: RNAcentral
GUCCUAGUAGCUCAGUGGUAGAGCUAUCGACUUUUAAUCGACAGGUCGUAGGUUCGAACCCUACCUAGGGCA